UAAUUUGAGAGUUUGAUCCUGGCUCAGGACGAACGCUGGCGGCGUGCCUAAUACAUGCAAGUCGAACGAACUCUGGUAUUGAUUGGUGCUUGCAUCAUGAUUUACAUUUGAGUGAGUGGCGAACUGGUGAGUAACACGUGGGAAACCUGCCCAGAAGCGGGGGAUAACACCUGGAAACAGAUGCUAAUACCGCAUAACAACUUGGACCGCAUGGUCCGAG
Molecule: ribosomal RNA, 220 nt
Filed under: Lactiplantibacillus plantarum
Lineage: Bacteria; Bacillati; Bacillota; Bacilli; Lactobacillales; Lactobacillaceae
Also listed under: 3 other names
Description: partial 16S ribosomal RNA
Rfam family: Bacterial small subunit ribosomal RNA
Source: RNAcentral